AGGUCCCCCUUAAUUAGACAGGGGCUUUUUCAGCCUCUCCUGAAGAUGGUCCUUCAGGAGAGGCUGAAUUGUUAAUUGUUGCAGAAAAAGUGGCAUCCCGCUUAUCUAUAAACACAUAAUUCAUGGGGUUAUUAUAAUGAUCAGCUGUAUGUGUCAUUAGAAAAGAGCAGAGAAGCAGAAUUACUUGUUGACUGGCGCAGAGACACGUACAUCUGCUGUGAAUAGCCAGGCUCACACUUGAAUUGACAUAUCGCAGCAGUUUGCAGCACAUCCACCUCCUGUGUGUCCCUAGCGUCAGAUCAGUAUGUACAAUGAUUUUCUUCACAAUUUGGGUUUGAGUGGCAACAAUUAGUCAAUUAAUCAAUUAUGUGUCAGCUAUUUAAUUAAUCACAAACUAUUUGGCAUUUGAUUACUUCUUUUGAGUAUUUUUUAAAGAAAAUAAUUCAAAUUCUCUAAUUUCAGCAUUUUCUAGUUUCUUUAGUCCUCUGACAGUUAACUGAAUAUCUUUGGGUUGUAGACAAAACAAGACAUUUGAGAACAUCACCUUGGCAAUUUGGAAAACACUGAUAAACAUUUUUCACUAUUUUCUGUAAUUUUAUGGGCCAAGCAAAUAAUCGAUUAAUGAAGAAAACAAAUUAAUCAAUAAUGAAAAUAACAUUAGUUGCAGCCCUAGUUUUGGUGCAAAGACAUAAAAAAAUCUCAUCCAUGCCAACUGCGUGGAUGAGAUUAUGAAUAUCUAGAAAAACACUUAAACACGCUACUACUACAUACUGCAUGUUAGCAACUUGUCUUUCACAUGCCAUACGGCUGUAACUGAUGAGGCAGUGGCUUCCAUAGCUUUUUUCUUAGUUUCCACAUGUCUUCUGGACAGGGCCUGGAUCACUUGUGCUCCUCUUACACAAACACUCAACCUGCUGGAGGAAGGUUUACGACUAUUCUAUAUUCUCUCCGUCUUUAUGAUUACCUUAAUGUACUCUGAGAGAUCCUGAGAGCAUUGAAGUGUUUGGAUCGUCCUUUGUCCUUAUUUUGUAGAUUUUCUACGUAUUUAACCUUAAAGGGGACAUAUUAUGAAAAACCAACUUUUUAAUCAUUUGAUUAUGUACAUUUGGGACUCUGGAGGGCCUAUCAGCAGCAAAGUGUGAAAAAAAAUGACUCAGUCAUGUUUUUGUGGGCUGCCUCAGUCAGAAUACAGGAGAGAAAUCACUCCGUUUCAGACAGUCAGACUUUUUGACGUCAUUUCGCCUCCAUGUUGCCACCCACCGCAGUUUACUUCCUGUUGACUAUCGGAGCUCCGCCAUUGUUACUAUAAAAGCGCAAGCUAGUGGAGAACAAGCUAGUGGAGAACCAGCAAGCGAGCCCAGCCAGCAGCCUGCCAGGCUAAUGUCUGGGCAAAGGCUUCAGCAGACUAACUGUUCAGUCAUUGGCUGCACAGCCCAAUCUACAUAUGUGUGAGCCAUUGGAUUUGUUUUUAUUUUUGACGGAAAUGUCUGUCGGAAAAGCCGGAACGUGUGUGAACCACUUCCUGUCGGACUGUUUUCACAACCUCGGUCAGUACAACACUGGACUGACUGAAAGACUGUUCCUGAAAGAGGGAUUGUACCAACUGUCUGUGGAGAGACAGCAGAGGAAAUAACUGUGACCUGAUGAAGCUCAGGUGUUCCUGGACCCAUCAGAGGACAGAGACAGCUGCAGCAUCAGGACAGUAUGAAGGACACGAUCUGCACAGUUUACAUAAAAGUUCUAGCUUUGUUACUUACAACAUGUGUAACUGGAAUAUAAAUUAAACAUAAAUAAAGUGUUUUACUUUUAAGAA
Dicentrarchus labrax (European seabass) is the source of this 1813-nucleotide long non-coding RNA. RefSeq lists it as uncharacterized. Lineage: Eukaryota; Metazoa; Chordata; Actinopteri; Moronidae. The record is from RefSeq and is a predicted model, not a curated record. The transcript has 2 exons.